CGCAUUCUAACGCGGAGCGGAGGGCGCCAGGUAAAAGCCUGGACAGGCGGUACCCAGGCGUCUAGGCAGCCGUCCACAGAGAUGCGGGUCCUCCGCGGAGCCUAGAGAGGACGCGGAAGUGGGCUGGGGGCGGGGUCCGAGGCCCCUGCAGACUCCGCGUCUGCCGGCUGGGUGCGGCCCCGCGGCUGCCAGAGAGUCGGUCGGAAGCGAGCGGUGGAGGGGCGAUGCCGUGCACUUUGCCCCUCUCUCCUUCCGUUUCCCUCGCCGAGCCAUGCCCCUGGCGGCCGAGGAGAGUGGGCGCGGGUCCCGAAUCCCCCGGCGGGGUCGACGCCGCUGUGCAUCGCCGGGUGCCCGGGGUCGUUGGGGCCCCGCCACCCUCGGUCCCCGCGCCCUCCUCUUCUCAGGCCGUCCGUCCCGCGCUGCUCAAGUUUCCAGCCCUGCUCCUCUUGUAGGAGCAGGGGUGGGAUGACCCCGGGCCAGAGUGGACAAACCUCCUGUUCCUGGAGCCGGUGCCCUGCGAGGAUGCGGACGUGGGCUUCAGAUAAGAGUGGAGGCGCCUGUCCGCCCUGGGAAAGCUCUGCGCGGACGUGAUGCCGAAGAUUUCUGGAAACGUCGUCGCACUGAUGAAAUCGUAGGGACUUCUCACCCAGGGGAAUAGGAAGAGGACCUGAGAGAUGUCUCGACAGGAAGAGCUGUUUCCCCCUUGAGGACGAGACCUUCCCUGGCUGGGGAGGGCCGAGAGCCCCUGCCUGCUCCAUGCUCUCCUGGCUGCUGAGGGCCGGGGCCCUGGCCCUGGCACAGGAUUGAUGCCCUCCUUGCCAUCCAGACAGUUGGGGCACACUCUCCCUGGUUUCCUAAAGGCAGAAGAAUAACUUCAACUACCAGACAUUUAAACAGUUG
Molecule: long non-coding RNA, 900 nt
Filed under: Equus asinus (donkey)
Lineage: Eukaryota; Metazoa; Chordata; Mammalia; Perissodactyla; Equidae
Description: lncRNA (ENSEASG00005036327.1)
Source: RNAcentral